Transfer RNA from Halococcus saccharolyticus DSM 5350, 75 nucleotides. It matches the Rfam family "tRNA". Rfam says of the family: Transfer RNA (tRNA) molecules are approximately 80 nucleotides in length. Their secondary structure includes four short double-helical elements and three loops (D, anti-codon, and T loops). Further hydrogen bonds mediate the characteristic L-shaped molecular structure. tRNAs have two regions of fundamental functional importance: the anti-codon, which is responsible for specific mRNA codon recognition, and the 3' end, to which the tRNAs corresponding amino acid is attached (by aminoacyl-tRNA synthetases). tRNAs cope with the degeneracy of the genetic code in two manners: having more than one tRNA (with a specific anti-codon) for a particular amino acid; and 'wobble' base-pairing, i.e. permitting non-standard base-pairing at the 3rd anti-codon position. Lineage: Archaea; Methanobacteriati; Methanobacteriota; Halobacteria; Halobacteriales; Halococcaceae. The record is from Rfam.
GCCGGUGUAGCUCAGACUGGCUAGAGCGAAUCCUUCGUAAGGAUUAGGCCGGGGGUUCAAAUCCCCCCACCGGCU